Molecule: ribosomal RNA, 274 nt
Filed under: uncultured bacterium
Lineage: Bacteria
Description: partial 16S ribosomal RNA
Rfam family: Bacterial small subunit ribosomal RNA
Source: RNAcentral
AUACGGAGGGUGCGAGCGUUAAUCGGAAUUACUGGGCGUAAAGCGUACGUAGGCGGUUUGCUAAGUCAGAUGUGAAAGCCCCGGGCUUAACCUGGGAACUGCAUUUGAUACUGGCAGACUAGAGUAUGAUAGAGGGGGGUAGAAUUCCUGGUGUAGCGGUGAAAUGCGUAGAUAUCAGGAGGAAUACCAGUGGCGAAGGCGGCCCCCUGGAUCAAUACUGACGCUGCGGUACGAAAGCGUGGGGAGCGAACAGGAUUAGAUACCCUAGUAGUCC